RNAcentral lists this ribosomal RNA (642 nucleotides) under Triticum aestivum (bread wheat). RNAcentral describes it as "partial small subunit ribosomal RNA". The record is from RNAcentral. Lineage: Eukaryota; Viridiplantae; Streptophyta; Magnoliopsida; Poales; Poaceae.
AUGGCAGAAUGCUUCAAUAAGGUGCUCAAGGGUGUACGUGCAUUAUCCGUGACGGCAAUAGUUCAAUACACAUUUGAAAAGAUGAAUGGAUACUUUUUAAAGUACUCAAUGGAGACUGAUAAGCAGAUUGCUGGUGAGAACAAGGAUAAGCACAAGUACAAUUUCCCACCAAAGGUUGAAGAAUGGUUGGAAUUUCAAUCACGAAAGGCAGACUCCCAAGAAGCUGUACUAUAUGACGACAACGAGUGGAAGUAUGAGGUGAAAGAGCCUGGAGGAACCACAAACGAUGGCCACCAACACGGAGGCCGGGCUUUCAAGGUCUCCCUAACACGGUGUGAUUGCAUCUGCAUGAGGCCAUAGUUGCUUCAUCUCCCAUGCUCGCACUUGUUAAAUGCAUCCCGGGUUAGGAAUGUGGACGUCAAUCACCCUCUUACAGUGCAGCGCCUUGCCCUUAGGCGCUGCACACCUGGACAUGCCAGUCCAGAGAGCAACAAAAGCAUUCCAGUAGCUUUUCCUCCUAAAAAUUUGCUAAGUCCGUGUGCAGUGCCUAAGGGCAAGGCGCCACACUAUACUGUGCAGCGCCGAGCUGUUGGGCGCUGCACAGUAGAAUGCAGCGCCUUGCCCUUGGGUGCUGCACACUGA